GAGUUUGAUCAUGGCUCAGAUUGAACGCUGGCGGCAGGCCUAACACAUGCAAGUCGAGCGGAUGAGAGGAGCUUGCUCCUUGAUUCAGCGGCGGACGGGUGAGUAAUGCCUAGGAAUCUGCCUGAUAGUGGGGGACAACGUUUCGAAAGGAACGCUAAUACCGCAUACGUCCUACGGGAGAAAGCAGGGGACCUUCGGGCCUUGCGCUAUCAGAUGAGCCUAGGUCGGAUUAGCUAGUAGGUGAGGUAAUGGCUCACCUAGGCGACGAUCCGUAACUGGUCUGAGAGGAUGAUCAGCCACACUGGAACUGAGACACGGUCCAGACUCCUACGGGAGGCAGCAGUGGGGAAUAUUGGACAAUGGGCGAAAGCCUGAUCCAGCCAUGCCGCGUGUGUGAAGAAGGUCUUCGGAUUGUAAAGCACUUUAAGUUGGAGGAAGGGCUGCAAGUUAAUACCUUGUAGUUUUGACGUUACCAACAGAAUAAGCACCGGCUAACUUCGUGCC
This 504-nucleotide ribosomal RNA is filed under the name uncultured Gammaproteobacteria bacterium. Its description in RNAcentral is "bacterial SSU rRNA". It matches the Rfam family "Bacterial small subunit ribosomal RNA", at positions 9 to 509 of the family's 1533-position model. Lineage: Bacteria; Pseudomonadati; Pseudomonadota; Gammaproteobacteria. The record is from RNAcentral.